GAAUAGGAAGAGCUCCAGUCUAGAGCUCCCAGCGUGAGCGACGCAGAAGAUGGGUGAUUUCUGCAUUUCCAACUGAGGUAUUUCUUCAUAACAAUGCAAAUGAACUAAGACAACAAGUCUCUGUGUUCUCCUUCAUCUAUCAUACUACCCGAGGUUUGUUUACGUGGUAAAGACAAGGUUCGGAGAGAAAUGGUUGAAACCAGCAUAGCUUUUUGAGACACAAUGCCACUUAUGCCACAUGCUAUUGGCCACAGCAAGUCACAGAACAUCUGGAUUCAAGAGGAGGGAAAUGGAUUCCACACCUUGAUGGAGGAGAUGCAAAGUCAUAUCACUUGGGACAUGGAUACAGGGAGGGGUGCAAUUUGGGAUGUUUUUGCAAUUAACCUACCACAGGCUUAAGGAGGCUUUUAGGAUUUACCUUCUGCUCUAAAGAGUUUCAACCACCAUGGCUUAGAGAACAUUUCUUAAAGCUCAGUCAUCUUUCAUGUAUCCAUUGUUCUCCAAAGGGACUAAGUUUUGUUCCAUGGUCAGUCUUUUCCAUGU
This 543-nucleotide small RNA is filed under the name Pan troglodytes (chimpanzee). Its description in RNAcentral is "processed transcript". Lineage: Eukaryota; Metazoa; Chordata; Mammalia; Primates; Hominidae. The record is from RNAcentral.